UACGAAGGGGGCUAGCGUUGUUCGGAAUCACUGGGCGUAAAGCGCACGUAGGCGGAUUGUUAAGUCGGGGGUGAAAUCCUGAGGCUCAACCUCAGAACUGCCUCCGAUACUGGCAAUCUCGAGUUCGGAAGAGGUUGGUGGAACAGCUAGUGUAGAGGUGAAAUUCGUAGAUAUUAGCUAGAACACCAGUGGCGAAGGCGGCCAACUGGUCCGGUACUGACGCUGAGGUGCGAAAGCGUGGGGAGCAAACAGG
This 253-nucleotide ribosomal RNA is filed under the name uncultured bacterium. RNAcentral describes it as "partial 16S ribosomal RNA". It matches the Rfam family "Bacterial small subunit ribosomal RNA", at positions 524 to 776 of the family's 1533-position model. The record is from RNAcentral.